GGUCGCCAGGAGACGCCCGCCCCGCCCUCCCUUUUCCUUCCACCCGGGACCUUUUAAAGGAUUCCGACUGGCCCGGGGGGGCGGGGCCUCGUCUCUAGGGCGGAGGGCGGCGAGGACGUCAGAGCCGCUUCCUUCACCGCAGUCACGCUCCUCGCUCCAAAAUCGUCAGCCUUCUCCCAGCGGUCCCUUUAGAGCAGCCUCAGGGACUUCGCCGCACGUCCUGCGGUCGUCUCUCCUGCCGCCUCCCCUCCCACCCCCGGCGCCCCAUCCUUCCUCGCUCAGGAGGGAUGGCACCUCGGCUGGGAACUCGUUCCUUGCUCGCCACUGCCCUGGGGACAAAGUCCCAGCUCCUCCCUUUUUCCACAAAGCCCUUCACGGACUGGCCUGAUGCACACUCCUCCUCGCUCCUCGCCUCCUGCGAUGCGGCCCCAGUGAUUGAGUUUCCAUUUUUCCAAAAUGACUUCAAGGGCCCGCCACCACCGUAAACCCUGAGAUUUUUGUCCAUUUUCUUCCCUGCCUUAUCCCCAGUGUUUUAGGUACCAUAGCAAGUCCUCAAAAAUGGCAAUAAAGGGCCUCUGGAUCUUUAA
This is a long non-coding RNA of Canis lupus familiaris (dog), 587 nucleotides long. RefSeq lists it as uncharacterized. The transcript has 2 exons. Lineage: Eukaryota; Metazoa; Chordata; Mammalia; Carnivora; Canidae. The record is from RefSeq and is a predicted model, not a curated record.